RNAcentral lists this ribosomal RNA (506 nucleotides) under uncultured bacterium. Its description in RNAcentral is "partial 16S ribosomal RNA". It matches the Rfam family "Bacterial small subunit ribosomal RNA", at positions 29 to 523 of the family's 1533-position model. The record is from RNAcentral.
AGUGAACGCUGGCGGUAGGCCUAGCACAUGCAAGUCGAACGGCAGCACAGGAGAGCUUGCUCUCUGGGUGGCGAGUGGCGGACGGGUGAGGAAUACAUCGGAAUCUACACUGUCGUGGGGGAUAACGUAGGGAAACUUACGCUACUACCGCAUACGACCUACGGGUGAAAGCAGGGGACCUUCGGGCCUUGCGCGAUUGAAUGAGCCGAUGUCGGAUUAGAUAGUUGGCGGGGUAAAGGCCCACCAAGGCGACGAUCCGUAGCUGGUCUGAGAGGAUGAUCAGCCACACUGGAACUGAGACACGGUCCAGACUCCUACGGGAGGCAGCAGUGGGGAAUAUUGGACAAUGGGCGCAAGCCUGAUCCAGCCAUACCGCGUGGGUGAAGAAGGCCUUCGGGUUGUAAAGCCCUUUUGUUGGGAAAGAAAUCCAGCUGGCUAAUACCCGGUUGGGAUGACGGUACCCAAAGAAUAAGCACCGGCUAACUUCGUGCCAGCCGCCGCCGUAA